UCCGCUCCUUGAUUCUCAGUCUCCAAUGGCUGUUUCAUCCGUAAUCAGAAACCCUAAUUCCAGGCUGCUACUCCUCAUCUCCUCUCUGUUAAUCCUGCUGCAGAGGAGCAAUAUCGGGCCCGAAUCCGUUUUAGUCUGCCGGUCGAUUGAACCGUUCACCCGCAACUGUAGAUUCCUGAAGAUCGGUAUAUACUUUGACUACGGCUUCAUCAUUCAUAUUGCCAAUUUGAUCAAGAACCUACUUAUUCUUGGAACCUUAAUUUCUGGGUUGAUGUAUUAUCUCAGUAAUUGUACCAACUGGUUUGCAAUGUCUUCUAUCAAGGGAUGCAAUCGUUGUUGUCCUAUUCUUAGCAUUGACGGUGCCCAUUUAUAUGGUAAAUAUAAUGGCGUAUUGCUUGUUGCAACUGUAGUAGAUGCAGAUGACGGUUUAUUUCCUUUAGCUUUUGCAGUUGUUGAAGUUAAAAGCACAGAAAAUUGGUCAUGGUUUUUUUGCAUACAUUAGUUUGCAUAUUUCUAAUGUGCAAGCGAGGACGAUUACAUUUAUAUCAGAUAAGAUGAAGGGAAUUCCAAGUGCAUUGGAAAGUGGAUUUCAAUCACGGCAUCACCAACGAAAUUGCUUAAGACAUAUUAGGGAUGACUUCAAGAGGAAGCAUUAACAAGUGCAUCUCCAAAAUCUCUUUUGACAAGCUGGAUGUGCAACAGAGAGCUUGGUGUACGAGCAACUACAGGAGGAAAUUAAGUUUAUUUCGCAAGUUGUGCAUGAUUGGAUUGAGACUAGUUUGGGACAAAGAUUUUCUUUGCAAGGAGGGGGGCUAUGGGAGCAGGAAUUGUCUCAUAAGUAAUCAGGUGAAAUUCUCAGCUCCAGUCACAUAUUUUAACACAGCACAUUGGAGGAAUAAAAG
Long non-coding RNA from Asparagus officinalis (garden asparagus), 902 nucleotides. RefSeq lists it as uncharacterized. The transcript has 3 exons. Lineage: Eukaryota; Viridiplantae; Streptophyta; Magnoliopsida; Asparagales; Asparagaceae. The record is from RefSeq and is a predicted model, not a curated record.